Mus musculus (house mouse) is the source of this 1776-nucleotide long non-coding RNA. RefSeq annotates it as predicted gene, 40054. The transcript has 3 exons. The record is from RefSeq and is a predicted model, not a curated record. Lineage: Eukaryota; Metazoa; Chordata; Mammalia; Rodentia; Muridae.
GUGCUUUUUCUGCAGAUCUGCAGGCCUCUUCAGUAAAACAAGCAUUUGCAUGCAUCACCUGGCUCCUCCACUCAUUAACAAACAACAUCUGUGCGUGUUUUGAUGCCUUUCUGUUUAGAAUAACUGUGCAUUAUAAGGAGAAAGAGGCACCUGAUCGACACACACUUCUUGGAUUUCUAGUUAACCUAUCACCUUAACAGUUGGACAGCUGGUGGACGUUUCCAAGAAUGGCAAUUUUCUUCUUGCUGUUGUGAGUCUCUCUUUGGCCUUUUUAUCCUCCCAGCAAACAGGCUGCUCUCCUAACCUCACAGGAAACAAAUGGUGUUCUUUUCCGUUUUCUGCCUGACUGAAUUCAGGACCACAGGGAAUGAGGAUUUCAGGUGGCCAACAAAUUUUUGCUUUCCUAGUGAGAAGAUCUUGAAAGUCUGAGACAAUCUAACUUUACCUGACUAGUGCCGCAGAUGCUCAUGUACAUGCCUGGUGAGAAACUGUUCACAGACAAAGGGGAUUGGAACAGGCAACUUUUGUCUAAAAGAGCACAAAGCAUUUGAGUUAAACAAAGAUCAGAAUAUAGCUUUCAGCUUCUCUGUGCCUGCCAUGCCUGCUGCCAUAUUGCCUACCAUGAUGAUAAUGGACCAAGGCUCUGAAAUGUUAAGGAAGCUCCCAAUUAAAUGCUUUCUCUUAUAUGACCAUGACCAUGGCAACUCUUCACAGCGAUGGAAGAGUGACUAUGCAUCUACACACUAACCAUCAUCAGUAUCAAUAUGAAUACCCAUUGUGCUCCUAUUGAAUGAAACAGUGUUGGUAAAUUUUCAUAAUGUGGUCAUUUCCAUAUUGAUGUUACUGACUGUGACAAAGUUCAUUAGAAAGUGGCUUUGUUGAAAAUUAUAGGUAUUAAGGUAAUCAUCCAGGAGAUGACUAUGAGGGGAACAGUUGAGGUCUGCUUGGAGUAGCUGGACAGAUGAAAAUGACUCCAGAGGGUCAGUAAACCCUAAGUCAGUUUUCAGUAGAUUAUGGAGAAUACCCAAAAUCCACCAUUCAUUGUCCAAGUGUGUUGGCAAAUAAAUGACAGAAGGUAAAUGACAAGCCUAUGCUAUUAGGUUCUGUUUGGCCAGGCACAGGAGAGCAGAUGUGAACCCUGGAGCAAAGUCCAGCUGUGGCACAUAAAACAAAAUAAGACGUGGACAGGAAGCAAAAUGGAUGUCUUCUGGGCUGCAGACUUUCUCAGAUGUCUGUUCAAUCAACGACACAUCAGAUGGAUCAUAGUUUGGUCAUACAAAAGAAUAUCUAAUAGCUACAACAGUUUAAGAAGACGGUAAAUGGCUUGUGAAUUUAUGCCAAACAAUCUACUAGAUCCACUACAAAUAGAAAUUCAAGGUGAGGAGGAGCUUGUACAGCAUGUCUUAUGUUUCAAAAUGUACACAAAUACUUGCACAUGCCUACAGCACUGCAAAGGACAUGUAGUAGUCUGGUUAUACUCUUUAUACUAGGAAGAAGAGCCGUGUACCAUGAGAUGUAUAUUGCAGAGAUAACUAAUGUUUCAGAUUUGUAUAGUUUUAAUAUUUAUACUUCACAAUUAUUAUGCUAUGAUUCAAAAGGUAAAAGAAUAAAAUAAUUUGUUAAAAUUCAAAGUUGAGUUAUUUUUCUAAAAUGUUCGUUAAUUAGCACUGCAAAGCUCAAUCUAGGAAGUAAAUGUGUUCCUUGCUAUAUCUAUAUCUACAGCACCCUGAGAGACACAGUGGGGGAGUUUUUACUUAUCUGAUAAAAUUCCCAAAG